UACGUAGGAGACGAGCGUUGUCCGGAGUUACUGGGCGUAAAGGGUGCGCAGGUGGUCGCGCGCGUGGGGGGUGAAAUCGCCCGGCUUAACUGGGCGGGGGCCUUCCAGACGGCGUGACUUGAGGCGCGGAGGGGGGCGUGGAAUUCCGGGUGGAGCGGUGAAAUGCGUAGAGAUCCGGAGGAACACCGACGGCGCAGGCAGCGCCCUGGCCGCGAAGAGCCGCGAGGCUUUGAACCUGACACUGAGGCACGAAAGCUGGGGGAGCAAACAGG
Molecule: ribosomal RNA, 272 nt
Filed under: uncultured bacterium
Lineage: Bacteria
Description: partial 16S ribosomal RNA
Rfam family: Bacterial small subunit ribosomal RNA
Source: RNAcentral